ACAGCUGAAUGGUUUGUCUCCUGUGUGGAUUCUUAUGUGUUGUUUUAAGCUUGUCUUAUAACUAAAUCUAUGUCCACAUUCGUCACAGCUGAAUGGUUUUUCUCCUGUGUGGAUUCUCAUGUGUUUGUUUAAGUUUGU
This is a long non-coding RNA of Melanotaenia boesemani (Boeseman's rainbowfish), 138 nucleotides long. RefSeq lists it as uncharacterized. The transcript is spliced from 3 exons. The record is from RefSeq and is a predicted model, not a curated record. NCBI's taxonomy places the organism in Eukaryota, Metazoa, Chordata, Actinopteri, Atheriniformes, Melanotaeniidae.